GACGAACGCUGGCGGCGUGCCUAAUACAUGCAAGUCGAACGCUUUUUCUUUCACCGGAGCUUGCUCCACCGAAAGAAAAAGAGUGGCGAACGGGUGAGUAACACGUGGGUAACCUGCCCAUCAGAAGGGGAUAACACUUGGAAACAGGUGCUAAUACCGUAUAACACUAUUUUCCGCAUGGAAGGAAGUUGAAAGGCGCUUUUGCGUCACUGAUGGAUGGACCCGCGGUGCAUUAGCUAGUUGGUGAGGUAACGGCUCACCAAGGCAACGAUGCAUAGCCGACCUGAGAGGGUGAUCGGCCACACUGGGACUGAGACACGGCCCAGACUCCUACGGGAGGCAGCAGUAGGGAAUCUUCGGCAAUGGACGAAAGUCUGACCGAGCAACGCCGCGUGAGUGAAGAAGGUUUUCGGAUCGUAAAACUCUGUUGUUAGAGAAGAACAAGGAUGAGAGUAAAACGUUCAUCCCUU
RNAcentral lists this ribosomal RNA (470 nucleotides) under Enterococcus casseliflavus. RNAcentral's name for it is "bacterial SSU rRNA". It matches the Rfam family "Bacterial small subunit ribosomal RNA", at positions 28 to 470 of the family's 1533-position model. The record is from RNAcentral. Lineage: Bacteria; Bacillati; Bacillota; Bacilli; Lactobacillales; Enterococcaceae.